GCAGAAGUGGUGAAAUUGGUAGACACGCACGUUUCAGGGGCGUGUGGCGAAAGCCGUGUGGGUUCGAGUCCCACCUUCUGCA
Molecule: transfer RNA, 82 nt
Filed under: Vicingaceae bacterium
Lineage: Bacteria; Pseudomonadati; Bacteroidota; Flavobacteriia; Flavobacteriales; Vicingaceae
Description: tRNA-Leu
Rfam family: tRNA
About the family: Transfer RNA (tRNA) molecules are approximately 80 nucleotides in length. Their secondary structure includes four short double-helical elements and three loops (D, anti-codon, and T loops).
Source: RNAcentral